Long non-coding RNA from Oreochromis aureus, 588 nucleotides. RefSeq lists it as uncharacterized. The record is from RefSeq and is a predicted model, not a curated record. Lineage: Eukaryota; Metazoa; Chordata; Actinopteri; Cichliformes; Cichlidae. The transcript is spliced from 3 exons.
GGCUGGGACAGGAAAGGGAAGGAAACAGAAGAAAAGAAAAUGAAGGAUAAAAGCAUUCAAACAAGCCUCUGAACGCGAAGACGUACUUCGACAUCGCCCAAGGAUUUGUUAAUUAGCUUGCCAACAUCUGUCCUCUCUAUGCAAGAUGGGAUUAGAAUACAAAAAAACCCAGAACACCCGUCGUAUGAUCACCACCUUUUCGCAACAGCACCCAUAACAACAGAUGUCAACCACCCUCCACCCCCACCGCAAUAGCUGAGAGCAGAGUCUGCUUACAAAGGUGCAGGUGGAGGAACAGAGAAAAAAGGAGAGGCUGUUGAAGAUGAAGCAAGGAGACAAGGAAGAAGCUUUGAUGAAACUUUUACUGCAUCUCUGUGUAAACAACUUCACAAACUGUUGUAGCUGCUAACUGUUCUGGGGCCAUGAAAGCAGCUUUGGAGGAACAGGUUGUUCUUACUAGUCAGCAUCAUCUCUGUAUUUUGCUUGAAUAUUCAGUCACUACAUGUAUGCAGCACACAGUGUAUGUGCAUAUUUUUGUAUUUUGUAUACCUAAAAUCAAUAUUAUUAACCAGAAGUCCAGAAAUAAAC